GGUUAAAACUUUAUGA
Molecule: small RNA, 16 nt
Filed under: Arabidopsis thaliana (thale cress)
Lineage: Eukaryota; Viridiplantae; Streptophyta; Magnoliopsida; Brassicales; Brassicaceae
Description: ATSL073800
Source: RNAcentral